Molecule: long non-coding RNA, 828 nt
Organism: Papaver somniferum (opium poppy)
Lineage: Eukaryota; Viridiplantae; Streptophyta; Magnoliopsida; Ranunculales; Papaveraceae
Exons: 2
Source: RefSeq, a predicted model, not a curated record
GAUAUUUCAUUCAAUAACUAAUGGACGGAUGAUGCUCGUGCCAUGCAUUUGAAGAUGCAUAGCAACAAGAAGGAAAAACAAGAUGAGAGCCAGCCACAAGAAUCAACGGGUUGUUAAUGAUAGACCAAAAAGUUGCAGUGUUGAGUUUAGCUUAAAUAGCUGACAUGCUGAAUGAUCAUAAUCUACUCAAAUUCGGAAACUAGGCUAUAUAUGUACACAUGCACAAAUCAAGCAGUGUACAUAAAAAGAAGUAUGAAAAAAAUGAUAAAUGAGGAGACUACUUGUAUCAUGUAUCCAGCACUAUCAUUUUUAACUAUUCAGACUACUCUAUCUUCCCUUUCUCGAGAAAUCUGAUCUUCAUCUCCAUCUUCAAUUGCAGCAAUCAUGGGGCACUUAUUAUUAAUUUUCUUCCUCUUUAUUUCAUGUCUUGUUUCAGAUUUUUCAGUCAUAGGAAAACCAUUAUCAGCUGUUUCAUCAAGACCAGAGAAUGUGAUGAAUGAUUUAUAUGAUGAAUCUCGCCUCAAUAUCAAACAUGGGAAAGUCUUUACAAAAAGAAGACAUCUAUAUGAUGGUGAAGAUGCAGAAACAAAAAAAGUAGGGUAUCACUGUCACUACAAAGGUACAUGCAUCGAUGAUGGAGAUUGUUACGACCAAUGCACAAGUCACGCCAGGGGUUUAUGUAAACUGGAAACGUCUCCGCCUAUAAAUAACGCUGAUAGUGAUUAUACUUUACCAGGUAUAUGCUGCUGUGUGUAACCUGGAAAGUUCAACGGACUUGACUCUUGUUAUCUUCAAUGGAGUAAUGAAUAAUAACAUACUUUUUUUUUA